AUUGAACGCUGGCGGCAUGCCUUACACAUGCAAGUCGAACGGCAGCGGGGACUUCGGUCCGCCGGCGAGUGGCGAACGGGUGAGUAAUGUAUCGGAACGUACCAUUGAGUGGGGGAUAACGUAGCGAAAGUUACGCUCAUACCGCAUAUUCCCUCCGGAGGAAAGCAGGGGACCGGAAGGCCUUGCGCGCUUUGAGCGGCCGAUUUCAGAUUAGCUAAUUGGUCGGGUAAAAGCUCACCGAGGCGACGAUCUGUAGCGGGUCUGGGAGGAUGAUCCGCCACACUGAAACUGAGACACGGUUCAGACUCCUACGGGAGGCAGCAGUGGGGAAUUUUGGACAAUGGGGGCAACCCUGUUCCAGCCAUGCCGCGUGAGUGAAGAAGGCCUUCGGGUUGUAAAGCUCUUUCGGCCGGGAAAAAAUCGCAUGGGUUAAUACCCUGUGUGGAUGAUGGUACCGGAAUAAGAAGCACCGGCUAACUACGUGCCAGCCGCCGCGGUAA
This 500-nucleotide ribosomal RNA is filed under the name uncultured bacterium. RNAcentral's name for it is "partial 16S ribosomal RNA". It matches the Rfam family "Bacterial small subunit ribosomal RNA", at positions 30 to 523 of the family's 1533-position model. The record is from RNAcentral.